GAUGAACGCUGGCGGCGUGCCUAAUACAUGCAAGUCGAACGAAUCUUCUUCGGAAGAUGAGUGGCGAACGGGUGAGUAAUACAUAGGUAACCUACCCCUGUGCGGGGGAUAACAGGAGGAAACUCCUGCUAAUACCGCAUAGCCAUGAGCACCGCAUGGAGCUCAUGCCAAAUAUCCUUUCGGGGAUAGCGCAGGGAUGGACCUAUGGCGCAUUAGCUGGUUGGCGGGGCAACGGCCCACCAAGGCAACGAUGCGUAGCCGGCCUGAGAGGGCGGACGGCCACAUUGGGACUGAGACACGGCCCAGACUCCUACGGGAGGCAGCAGUAGGAAUUUUCGGCAAUGGGGGAAACCCUGACCGAGCAACGCCGCGUGAGCGAAGAAGGCCUUCGGGUCGUAAAGCUCUGUUGUAAAGGAAGAACGGCGCAUACAGGAAAUGGUAUGCGAGUGACGGUACUUUACCAGAAAGCCACGGCUAACUACGUGCCAGCCGCCGCAGUAA
This 501-nucleotide ribosomal RNA is filed under the name uncultured bacterium. RNAcentral's name for it is "partial 16S ribosomal RNA". It matches the Rfam family "Bacterial small subunit ribosomal RNA", at positions 28 to 523 of the family's 1533-position model. The record is from RNAcentral.